CAGUCGUACCUUCGGGUAAUCAGCCUUUCGGGUGCGAUUCUGUGGAGUGUGAGGAGUUAAACACCUUCAUGUUUUGCAUAUUCGUACUCUUGGGUGUACUUGCCCGUGUGGUUGGUUAACAUCAAUUUUGGUGGUCAUAAAAUGACUGGAGGAAUGUAGCUUCGAUCUCGUAUUGAAGUGUUAUAGCCUUCGGUAGAUGUGAUGAUCGAGAUUGAGGAUUGCAACGGAUACCCUUCGGGGCUACCUGUCUGAUCUCUGAUCGUUGCUCUGGUGCCGAAAGCUUGCUUACGGUUAUCAAAGUCGAUGGUCAAUAGGUUAGAACGGGUUAAA
Molecule: ribosomal RNA, 330 nt
Filed under: uncultured Glomeraceae
Lineage: Eukaryota; Fungi; Glomeromycota; Glomeromycetes; Glomerales; Glomeraceae
Description: partial large subunit ribosomal RNA
Source: RNAcentral